UUAAAAAAGGGGUUGGUUUCAUUGGUGGCCUGGUGUUUCAUUAACCUCCCUGACGGUAUUCCCGAGCGUGACUCAGGGUUAAUUUUCGCUGCCAGGAGCGGUAACCCCUAGUCACGCUCGGGGUAACAUUGCAGAGUCCCUUCA
Bufo bufo (common toad) is the source of this 144-nucleotide long non-coding RNA. RefSeq lists it as uncharacterized. The record is from RefSeq and is a predicted model, not a curated record. Lineage: Eukaryota; Metazoa; Chordata; Amphibia; Anura; Bufonidae. The transcript is spliced from 5 exons.